This 253-nucleotide ribosomal RNA is filed under the name uncultured bacterium. RNAcentral describes it as "partial 16S ribosomal RNA". It matches the Rfam family "Bacterial small subunit ribosomal RNA", at positions 524 to 776 of the family's 1533-position model. The record is from RNAcentral.
UACAGAGGUCUCAAGCGUUGUUCGGAUUCAUUGGGCGUAAAGGGUGCGUAGGUGGCGCGGUAAGUCGGGUGUGAAAUCUCGGAGCUUAACUCCGAAAUUGCAUUCGAUACUGCCGUGCUUGAGGACUGGAGAGGAGACUGGAAUUCAUGGUGUAGCAGUGAAAUGCGUAGAGAUCAUGAGGAAGACCAGUGGCGAAGGCGGGUCUCUGGACAGUUCCUGACACUGAGACACGAAGGCCAGGGGAGCAAACGGG